This is a long non-coding RNA of Rhododendron vialii, 823 nucleotides long. RefSeq lists it as uncharacterized. The record is from RefSeq and is a predicted model, not a curated record. Lineage: Eukaryota; Viridiplantae; Streptophyta; Magnoliopsida; Ericales; Ericaceae. The transcript has 2 exons.
UUUAUUUCCCUCUCACAUGUUAUAAUUUUUAUGGAGAGGAAGACUUCUGUGAUGGUGUGCAGGACUUGGAGAAUGGUAAAUGUGGGCCGGUAGAAUUGUUUCAGCCGGAUCAUAUGCCCAUGUUUACGCUCCCAACUUGGCUUAAGUCGAAACCCCCUGCUUCAAAGAAAUGAUUAUUUCCAGGCAUCUGCUUGUCUUUGUAUUUUUUUCUCCCCUUUAGAAGGAUACUUCUUGUAUGGGAGAAGGAGGUUGUGGAAAGCUGUAACCGAGAGCAAAUGAAGCGAAUAUGAAGUAGCGUGUGGUCUCUUCGUCUGUGGGAAAAAUUAAAAACUUCACUUGGAGAGCUGUUCAUGAUAUAGUGCCAUCUAUGGAAGUGCUGUACAAGAGGAAAAUUUUGCGCUAGUGCGUUACAUCCGGUGUACCAAAAGGAAGGGGAAUCUACCAUCCAUCUUUUAGCCGGUGAGCUCAGAUGGUGUGGUAUGCUUCCCCGUUGGAUUGAUAUGAGGACGGUGGCAGGAGAUAUGAUGGCGGAAUAAUGGUGGGCUUGUCUUAUCGAAAGAUGGAGAGGCAAAGCUUACUCUUGAAAAAUUUCGGCAGCGGUUAUGUAGACUCUACAAGAUGAAUGAUUCUUAUUGCUACAAGUAGUACGGUAGGACCCAAAAUGGACGUGUCGGAAAACACAAAAUUUCUUCGACAGCGGACCGAAUUUAAACUCAUUAAAAUCAAAUAUAUCUCCCAUGUAAGCUCAAAAAAGAUUAAACCCCGUUUACUUUGAUUUUAAAUCAAAUGUUACAACAUUACUGCCGAAUGGUCCUUCAGAUCA